Setaria italica (foxtail millet) is the source of this 423-nucleotide long non-coding RNA. RefSeq lists it as uncharacterized. The transcript has 3 exons. The record is from RefSeq and is a predicted model, not a curated record. NCBI's taxonomy places the organism in Eukaryota, Viridiplantae, Streptophyta, Magnoliopsida, Poales, Poaceae.
ACAACGACGAGCCGCAUACAAACAGUGAGUAUAGGCAAUACCAGACUUGGUACCAAGGUGCGACGCGUCACAGGCUGAGGGCAGCGUGGACGGAAGAUGGCUACGCCGACAUCCACUCAUCCGACGAUGAAGACACAGUGUACGAUCAGAGUACUCGUGCUGGAAGGCAGGUGGAGGCAGGACCAAUCCUGGAUAGGAUGGGCCGUACCCUCCAAAGCUCGGUUAGAGAUAUUGAGCAUUUCCGUCCUAGAGUUACGGACCCCGAGACGCGGAGCUUUCUAGACCGACUGUCAAAUCGGCUUCGCCGUGCGGCUGCUCGUUGUGGUUGCAGGACUGCCACGACGCGAGACGUGCACGUUCCAUCCCCACGUGAAGGAGGCGUCGGUACGUCUAGCCAAGGCCCCUCGGGUUCGAAAGCAAUUG